UACAGAGGGGGCGAGCGUUGUUCGGAAUUACUGGGCGUAAAGGGCGCGUAGGCGGCCUUCUAAGUCGAACGUGAAAUCCCCGGGCUCAACCCGGGAACUGCGUCCGAUACUGGGAGGCUUGAAUCCGGGAGAGGGAUGUGGAAUUCCAGGUGUAGCGGUGAAAUGCGCAGAUAUCGGGAGGAACACCAGUAGCGAAGGCGGCUCGCUGGGCCGUUCCUGACGCUGAGACGCGAAAGCUAGGGGAGCGAACAGG
RNAcentral lists this ribosomal RNA (253 nucleotides) under uncultured bacterium. RNAcentral's name for it is "partial 16S ribosomal RNA". It matches the Rfam family "Bacterial small subunit ribosomal RNA", at positions 524 to 776 of the family's 1533-position model. The record is from RNAcentral.